AAUUUUCUAGAACAUAAGGGGAGUGAGGUCCAAAAAAUCCAUUCACAGGCUUAAGAGGUUAAUUAACAUCAACAACACCUAUUUCGUGGCUAUCUUUGAACAUUUUCUUUCUAAUGAAAAGGUGGAUGGUUACAGGAGAUUCUUAGGUUUUUAGCAUUGCCAUUUGAAUGGUAAUGGACAUAUUUGGUGUUUUUGGAACUCUUUCAACACCAAAAUUUUUUUAUCUAAAAGCAAUCAGCAUAUUACAAUCAAGUUGGAGAAGGCUAUUAGUAAUUUGGACAUUCUUAUUACGUCUGUUUAUGCUAAGUGUAACUUGGAAGAUAGAAAGCCCCUCUAGUUAUCCUCGUAGGAUGAUAGUAAUCUGGUGGAUGCUC
RNAcentral lists this long non-coding RNA (374 nucleotides) under Nicotiana benthamiana. Its description in RNAcentral is "long non-coding RNA (NBEN_LNC002065)". Lineage: Eukaryota; Viridiplantae; Streptophyta; Magnoliopsida; Solanales; Solanaceae. The record is from RNAcentral.